AUUGAACGCUGGCGGCAGGCCUAACACAUGCAAGUCGAACGGCAGCACAGAAGAGCUUGCUCUUUGGGUGGCGAGUGGCGGACGGGUGAGUAAUGUCUGGGAAACUGCCCGAUGGAGGGGGAUAACUACUGGAAACGGUAGCUAAUACCGCAUAACGUCGCAAGACCAAAGUGGGGGACCUUCGGGCCUCACACCAUCGGAUGUGCCCAGAUGGGAUUAGCUAGUAGGUGGGGUAAUGGCUCACCUAGGCGACGAUCCCUAGCUGGUCUGAGAGGACGCCCAGCCAAACUGGAACUGAGACACGGACCAGACUCCUACGGGAGGCAGCAGUGGGGAAUAUUGCACAAUGGGCGCAAGCCUGAUGCAGCCAUGCCGCGUGUAUGAAGAAGGCCUUCGGGUUGUAAAGUACUUUCAGCGGGGAGGAAGGCGGUGAGGUUAAUAACCUUGCCGAUUGACGUUACCCGCAGAAGAAGCACCGGCUAACUCCGUGCCAGCAGCCGCCGUAA
RNAcentral lists this ribosomal RNA (506 nucleotides) under uncultured bacterium. RNAcentral describes it as "partial 16S ribosomal RNA". It matches the Rfam family "Bacterial small subunit ribosomal RNA", at positions 29 to 523 of the family's 1533-position model. The record is from RNAcentral.